Long non-coding RNA from Octopus sinensis (East Asian common octopus), 130 nucleotides. RefSeq lists it as uncharacterized. The transcript is spliced from 3 exons. Lineage: Eukaryota; Metazoa; Mollusca; Cephalopoda; Octopoda; Octopodidae. The record is from RefSeq and is a predicted model, not a curated record.
AGACGUGAGCUCUUCCGAAAAGUUUGGCUGCAUCCGAAAAAAUAUAUAUUAUGAAACAAAAAUAAACACAAAAUUUAUUACACGAAUCUGUUACCACCACGUCAGUCAACUAUUUGACGCCGAACAUGAG